GAGGAGCUCCUGUGGGCCCUUCCUCCAGCUGUAGCCAAGUAGCUUUGAUUUCUGAUGGUUCUGAGCCAUCACUGAAGGGUGGAGAGCUCAUUUCUGCUUUAAUUUGAGCCAGGUUUGAUGGCAAUGGAAGCUGCACACGUUUAAACAUAGCAUUGCUUAUAUAGCGGGGAGGCUGAGUCUGAGUUUACUGGGUGCCUUGGGCUUUCUGCAGUGUGGGGAGGCACCCUCCUCAGGAGGGUCUGCAGGGGCUUGGUGUGUUUGGGCUUGUUUCAGACAUGGCAGAAAGUCAGGACUCCCUGCAGAAUGCAGUGGUGAUCUCAUAGGCUGUGGAGAUGCUCUGGAUCCAGCUACAUCAGACCUCAGCUGCCAGGAUUAGUUCUGAGCAAGAGAGAGACCAGAGGCAUGAAAGUAAGAAACACUGCUUUCAUCCUGCCUUGCUGCUCAGGUGGCUCUGGCACUUCUGGUGA
Columba livia (rock pigeon) is the source of this 467-nucleotide long non-coding RNA. RefSeq lists it as uncharacterized. The record is from RefSeq and is a predicted model, not a curated record. The transcript is spliced from 2 exons. NCBI's taxonomy places the organism in Eukaryota, Metazoa, Chordata, Aves, Columbiformes, Columbidae.